RNAcentral lists this ribosomal RNA (598 nucleotides) under Lactiplantibacillus pentosus. RNAcentral describes it as "bacterial SSU rRNA". It matches the Rfam family "Bacterial small subunit ribosomal RNA", at positions 622 to 1222 of the family's 1533-position model. Lineage: Bacteria; Bacillati; Bacillota; Bacilli; Lactobacillales; Lactobacillaceae. The record is from RNAcentral.
ACCAACGGAAACUGGGAAACUUGUGUGCAGAUGAGGACAGAGGAACUCCGUGUGUAGCGGUGAAAUGCGAGAUAUAUGGAAGAACACCAGUGGCGAAGGCGGCUGUCUCGUCUGUAACUGACGCUGAGGCUCGAAAGUAUGGGUAGCAAACAGGAUUAGAUACCCUGGAAGACCAUACCGUAAACGAUGAAUGCUAAGUGUUGGAGGGUUUCCGCCCUUCAGUGCUGCAGCUAACGCAUAAAGCAUUCCGCCUGGGGAGUACGGCCGCAAGGGUGAAACUCAAAGGAAUGACGGGGGCCCGCACAAGCGGUGGAGCAUGUGGUUUAAUUCGAAGCUACGCGAAGAACCUUACCAGGUGUUGACAUACUAUGCAAAUCUAAGAGAUUAGACGUUCCCUUCGGGGACAUGGAUACAGGGGGUGCAUGGUUGUCGUCAGCUCGUGUCGUGAGAUGUUGGGUUAAGUCCCGCACCGAGCGCAACCCUUAUUAUCUGUUGCCAGCAUUAAGUUGGGCACUCUGGUGAGACUGCCGGAGAGAAAGCGGAGGAAGGUGGGGAUGACGUCAAAUCAUGAUGCCCCUUAUCCCCUGGGCUACACACG